Molecule: long non-coding RNA, 992 nt
Organism: Alnus glutinosa
Lineage: Eukaryota; Viridiplantae; Streptophyta; Magnoliopsida; Fagales; Betulaceae
Exons: 3
Source: RefSeq, a predicted model, not a curated record
UCGCAGAACAGCAUCAACUCUUUUGUCUUCUUUCUUCGCAAGGUGUCUUCUUCCCUUAGAAACUCUCUAUGUUUCUCCCUUUCGACCAGCAACAAAAAGAAGCAAAGGAAAAAAAAAAAAAAAAAAAAAAAAAAAAAAAAAAAAAAACAGGAAAGUUGCUCUCCCUCUCUCUUCCUCUCGGCUUGCAAAAGAAAACAAAGAAUAACUCUUUUCCUUCUCUUUCCCUUUCAGCUAGCAAGGUUCUGUAACAGAAAAACAAAAGGGAAAGCUUUCUCUCUCUCUGUCUCUCUAUGUCCCUUGGUCUAUGAACAAAAACAGAACUCUCCUCCUACCUUGGCCAGCAUAUUGUUUAAACAAAGAAAAAUAGAAGAAAACUCUCUCUGGGCCUCUUUCCCUAGGCUAGUAUGAGUUCCAGCAACUCAUCUUCUUCCUAAAAAACCAGAAAAGGAAAAAAACUCUCUUCUCCUCUCUGUUUCUUUCUCUCGGCAGCAAGGGGGUAGCUUAAGCAGCUCAAAAAUAGCAAGCUCUCUCUCUCUCUCUCUCUCUCUCUCUCUCUCUCUCUCUCUCUCUCUCUCUCUCUCUCUCUCGGCCAGCCGUGUUCCAUAUACUUGGAAUCCUUUUAAAAAUAUCUCAACCUUGCUUUGGGGAUAUUUUGUGAUCACUUGUGUGGAUAUUCUCUGAAAGCAGAAAAUGAAUAUGGGAUUCUGGUAAUGUCCACAAUCACGUAAAUGAUUAUGCAGGUCUGAAGGAAGAAUAUGAGGUUGGCUAGGACUCAUAUAUUUGAUCCUGAUAUCUAUGGAUUACUUUUGAUAGCUUUAAUAUUUUAAGCUAACAUUUUUGUAGCCAGUUAUAUUUACUAUAAAUUUGUAAUUAAUUGUGUUACAGCCAUUGUGGUAUGUAACAUGUUUAGAAAGAUGUUUGUAUUUCGGUAGUUGUUUAUGUAGGUGUAUGCGCCGUUGUGGCACUUAUUGUGAUAUAUUUAGAAUACUUAU